This 406-nucleotide ribosomal RNA is filed under the name uncultured bacterium. RNAcentral describes it as "partial 16S ribosomal RNA". It matches the Rfam family "Bacterial small subunit ribosomal RNA", at positions 30 to 526 of the family's 1533-position model. The record is from RNAcentral.
AUUGAACGCUGGCGGCAGGCCUAACACAUGCAAGUCGAACGAGUGGCGGACGGGUGAGUAACACGUGGGAACCUACCCAUCAGAGGGGGAUAACACUUGGCAACAGGGGCUAAUACCGCCUACUGAUGGAUGGACCCGCGGUGCAUUAGCUAGUAGGUGGGGUAAAGGCUCACCUAGGCUACGCUCCCUAGCUGGUCUGAGAGGACGACCAGCCACACUGGAACUGAGACACGGUCCAGACUCCUACGGGAGGCAGCAGUGGGGAAUAUUGCACAAUGGGCGCAAGCCUGAUGCAGCCAUGCCGCGUGUAUGAAGAAGGCCUUCGGGUUGUAAAGUACUUUCAGCGGGGAGGCGUUACCCGCAGAAGAAGCACCGGCUAACUCCGUGCCAGCAGCCGCGGUAAUAC